AAUGAGGAAUACCUAAUAAUUGCUUGAGCUGCUAGGGGUGUUGGUCGAUUAAGACAAUAGGACGGUGGUCAUGGAAGUCGAUAUCCGCGAAGGAGUGAGUAACAACUCACCUGCCAAAUCAACUAGCCCCGAAAAUGGAUGGCGCGGAAGCGUGCGACCCACACCCGGCCAUCUGGGCGAGCGCCGUGCCCCGAUG
Molecule: non-coding RNA, 196 nt
Filed under: Triticum aestivum (bread wheat)
Lineage: Eukaryota; Viridiplantae; Streptophyta; Magnoliopsida; Poales; Poaceae
Also listed under: 1 other name
Description: rRNA LSU_rRNA_eukarya
Rfam family: Eukaryotic large subunit ribosomal RNA
Source: Rfam by way of RNAcentral